GACGAACGCUGGCGGCGUGCCUAAUACAUGCAAGUAGAACGCUGAAGGAGGAGCUUGCUCUUCUGGAUGAGUUGCGAACGGGUGAGUAACGCGUAGGUAACCUGCCUGGUAGCGGGGGAUAACUAUUGGAAACGAUAGCUAAUACCGCAUAACAGUAGAUGUUGCAUGACAUUUACUUAAAAGGUGCAAUUGCAUCACUACCAGAUGGACCUGCGUUGUAUUAGCUAGUUGGUGGGGUAACGGCUCACCAAGGCGACGAUACAUAGCCGACCUGAGAGGGUGAUCGGCCACACUGGGACUGAGACACGGCCCAGACUCCUACGGGAGGCAGCAGUAGGGAACCUUCGGCAAUGGACGGAAGUCUGACCGAGCAACGCCGCGUGAGUGAAGAAGGGUUUCGGAUCGUAAAGCUCUGUUGUAAGAGAAGAACGAGUGUGAGAGUGGAAAGUUCACACUGUGACGGUAUCUUACCAGAAAGGGACGGCUAACUACGUG
This 495-nucleotide ribosomal RNA is filed under the name uncultured bacterium. Its description in RNAcentral is "partial 16S ribosomal RNA". It matches the Rfam family "Bacterial small subunit ribosomal RNA", at positions 28 to 507 of the family's 1533-position model. The record is from RNAcentral.